UGGGGAAUAUUGGACAAUGGGCGAAAGCCUGAUCCAGCCAUGCCGCGUGUGUGAAGAAGGUCUUCGGAUUGUAAAGCACUUUAAGUUGGGAGGAAGGGAGUAAGCGAAUACCUUGCUGUUUUGACGUUACCGACAGAAUAAGCACCGGCUAACUCUGUGCCAGCAGCCGCGGUAAUACAGAGGGUGCAAGCGUUAAUCGGAAUUACUGGGCGUAAAGCGCGCGUAGGUGGUUCGUUAAGUUGAAUGUGAAAGCCCCGGGCUCAACCUGGGAACUGCAUCCAAAACUGGCGAGCUAGAGUAGGGCAGAGAGUGGUGGAAUUUCCUGUGUAGCGGUGAAAUGCGUAGAUAUAGGAAGGAACACCAGUGGCGAAGGCGACCACCUGGGCUCAUACUGACACUGAGGUGCGAAAGCGUGGGGAGCAAACAGG
This 428-nucleotide ribosomal RNA is filed under the name Pseudomonadota bacterium. RNAcentral describes it as "Proteobacteria bacterium partial 16S ribosomal RNA". It matches the Rfam family "Bacterial small subunit ribosomal RNA", at positions 355 to 776 of the family's 1533-position model. Lineage: Bacteria; Pseudomonadati; Pseudomonadota. The record is from RNAcentral.